UACGAAGGGGGCUAGCGUUGUUCGGAAUCACUGGGCGUAAAGGGCGCGUAGGCGGCCUUCUAAGUCAGACGUGAAAGCCCUGGGCUCAACCCAGGAACUGCAUUUGAAACUCCCUUUCUUGAGUGUCGGAGAGGAAAGCGGAAUUCCUGGUGUAGAGGUGAAAUUCGUAGAUAUCAGGAGGAACACCGGUGGCGAAGGCGGCUUUCUGGACAGAUACCGACGCUGAGGCACGAAAGCUAGGGGAGCAAACAGG
RNAcentral lists this ribosomal RNA (253 nucleotides) under uncultured bacterium. RNAcentral describes it as "partial 16S ribosomal RNA". It matches the Rfam family "Bacterial small subunit ribosomal RNA", at positions 524 to 776 of the family's 1533-position model. The record is from RNAcentral.